This 253-nucleotide ribosomal RNA is filed under the name uncultured bacterium. RNAcentral describes it as "partial 16S ribosomal RNA". It matches the Rfam family "Bacterial small subunit ribosomal RNA", at positions 524 to 776 of the family's 1533-position model. The record is from RNAcentral.
UACGUAGGGUGCAAGCGUUAAUCGGAAUUACUGGGCGUAAAGCGUGCGCAGGCGGUGAUGUAAGGCAGAUGUGAAAUCCCCGGGCUCAACCUGGGACCUGCAUUUGUGACUGCAUCGCUAGAGUACGGUAGAGGGGGAUGGAAUUCCGCGUGUAGCAGUGAAAUGCGUAGAUAUGCGGAGGAACACCGAUGGCGAAGGCAAUCCCCUGGACCUGUACUGACGCUCAUGCACGAAAGCGUGGGGAGCAAACAGG